This 253-nucleotide ribosomal RNA is filed under the name uncultured Alterococcus sp. RNAcentral's name for it is "partial 16S ribosomal RNA". It matches the Rfam family "Bacterial small subunit ribosomal RNA", at positions 524 to 776 of the family's 1533-position model. Lineage: Bacteria; Pseudomonadati; Verrucomicrobiota; Opitutia; Opitutales; Alterococcaceae. The record is from RNAcentral.
UACAGAGACUGCAAGCGUUAUUCGGAUUCACUGGGCGUAAAGGGUGCGCAGGCGGCCAGGUGUGUUAGGCGUGAAAGCCCGUCGCUCAACGACGGAAUUGCACCUAAAACUAUCUGGCUAGAGUACUGGAGAGGGUAGUGGAAUUCACGGUGUAGCAGUGAAAUGCGUAGAUAUCGUGAGGAGCACCAAUGGCGAAGGCAACUACCUGGACAGUUACUGACGCUCAGGCACGAAAGCGUGGGGAGCAAAAGGG